Long non-coding RNA from Armigeres subalbatus, 411 nucleotides. RefSeq lists it as uncharacterized. The transcript is spliced from 3 exons. The record is from RefSeq and is a predicted model, not a curated record. NCBI's taxonomy places the organism in Eukaryota, Metazoa, Arthropoda, Insecta, Diptera, Culicidae.
AUCUUGACAGAAUUGACGCGACGUGAUGAAUCUUGAACGUCAGCUCAGUGCAAAACAAUGCCCCAGCUCAGGAGUAAUCUCGUAGUUUUGAUUUGUGUAGUGAGCUGUUUGAAGGAGAAAAAGGAAGCGAAGAGGACAACUGAAAUGUAAUUUCGUUCCGCAACACACACCUCAUUGGUUGCAAAAUCAAUUACGUAAAUAACUAUGAUGUCAUGUUUCUGUGGAAGCAAAAGUGCAUGCAUUAGUGUUCGACCGCCACACGCCAGGAAAUCGUCUGUUACAGAAGAGUGCUUCAAGUGUCAUCGAGCUUGUCCAAAAAAAAAAAAAUUGCGGAGGUGAUAACAAAUUAUGAAAAUUGGAGGAAUGAUAAAAAACAUUAGUGUACAAUACGUGUAAAUUAAAUAUAUACAA